AGAGCCUAGGAAGAUUUGGGGGUCGCCUUGCCGGCCUCCUGUCCUCCUCCGGCGGCGGCGGAGCCCGAGAGAACUAGGUGAACACCGCUUUGCCAGCCUCACACAGCGUCCCCUGGCUCUGCCGCCGCUCCGGACGUCGCCCUCCCGUUCUGCUUGGGUCCCCUUAGUCGCUACCUUUGCUGGGAUCCCCCUCCUCCAUCCUGUGGCUUCGGGUUGCCGAAGAGCGAUGCUCGGAGGGCGGCCGGAAGUGGCGUUGGCCGCCAUUGGCCUGCCGGCCAGCCACCUUGCUGUCCUCCGCCGCCUUCCGGGUGUUACAUGCAGCCGGGCUCGGCCCCUCCCCCUGGCCGGAUGGAUCCGUCGGCGCCACAGCCCCGCGCGGAAACCUCAGGCAAAGACAUAUGGCAUCCAGGAGAAAGAUGUCUUGCCCCUUCUCCAGAUAAUGGAAAACUUUGUGAAGCAAGCAUAAAAUCUAUCACAGUGGAUGAAAAUGGCAAGUCAUUUGCAGUCGUCUUAUAUGCAGAUUUUCAAGAAAGGAAAAUACCUCUUAAACAGCUUCAAGAAGUGAAAUUUGUUAAAGAUUGCCCUAGGAAUCUUAUAUUUGAUGAUGAAGAUUUAGAAAAACCUUAUUUCCCAAACCGAAAAUUUCCAUCAUCUUCUGUUGCUUUUAAAUUAUCUGACAAUGGAGACUCUAUUCCUUAUACCAUCAAUAGGUAUUUGAGAGACUACCAAAGAGAAGGAACCCGGUUUCUUUAUGGACACUACAUCCAUGGAGGAGGGUGCAUUCUGGGUGAUGACAUGGGACUUGGAAAAACAGUACAGGUUAUUUCAUUUCUGGCUGCAGUUUUGCAUAAAAAGGGAACUCGUGAGGAUAUUGAAAAUAACAUGCCAGAGUUUUUACUAAGAAGUAUGAAAAAGGAACCCCUUUCUUCUACAGCAAAAAAGAUGUUCUUAAUAGUUGCUCCUCUUUCUGUCCUCUACAACUGGAAGGAUGAAUUGGACACCUGGGGAUAUUUCAGAGUCACUGUUUUACAUGGAAACAGAAAAGAUAAUGAAUUAAUUCGUGUAAAGCAGAGGAAAUGUGAAAUUGCUCUAACAACUUAUGAAACACUACGCUUAUGCCUGGAUGAACUUAACAGUUUGGAAUGGUCAGCUGUCAUUGUGGAUGAAGCUCAUAGAAUCAAGAAUCCAAAAGCUAGAGUAACAGAAGUUAUGAAAGCUUUGAAAUGUAAUGUCCGCAUUGGCCUCACUGGAACCAUCCUUCAGAACAACAUGAAGGAACUGUGGUGUGUUAUGGACUGGGCUGUGCCAGGCCUUUUAGGGAGUGGGACCUACUUCAAGAAGCAGUUUUCUGACCCAGUAGAACAUGGUCAGAGACACACGGCAACAAAGAGAGAACUAGCCACUGGCCGAAAGGCCAUGCAAAGACUUGCCAAAAAGAUGUCUGGCUGGUUUCUCAGGCGCACCAAGACUCUUAUCAAGGAUCAGUUGCCUAAGAAGGAAGACCGGAUGGUGUAUUGUUCUUUGACAGAUUUCCAGAAAGCUGUCUAUCAAACAGUGUUAGAAACAGAGGACGUGACUUUGAUACUUCAAUCUUCUGAGCCUUGUACCUGUAGGAGUGGCCAAAAAAGGAGAAAUUGUUGUUAUAAGACCAAUUCUCAUGGUGAAACAGUGAAAACCUUGUAUCUCAGUUACCUUACAGUCCUUCAGAAGGUAGCUAACCAUGUCGCGCUACUGCAAGCUGCUAGUACUUCCAAACAACAGGAAACACUUAUCAAAAGGAUAUGUGAUCAGGUAUUUUCCAGAUUCCCAGAUUUUGUGCAGAAAAGCAAAGAUGCAGCCUUUGAAACACUUUCUGACCCUAAAUACAGUGGAAAAAUGAAGGUCCUUCAGCAGCUUUUAAAUCAUUGCAGGAAAAACAGAGAUAAAGUUCUUCUCUUUUCUUUUUCCACCAAGUUGCUUGACGUGCUACAGCAGUACUGUAUGGCGUCUGGGCUUGAUUACCGACGACUUGAUGGAAGUACAAAAUCAGAGGAAAGACUCAAGAUUGUAAAAGAGUUCAACAGUACACAAGAUGUUAACAUUUGCCUUGUCUCUACAAUGGCUGGUGGACUAGGCCUCAAUUUUGUCGGUGCCAAUGUUGUUGUAUUAUUUGAUCCUACUUGGAAUCCAGCCAAUGAUCUUCAAGCCAUUGACAGAGCAUAUAGGAUUGGACAAUGUAGAGAUGUCAAAGUGCUUAGGCUGAUAUCCUUGGGAACUGUGGAGGAAAUCAUGUAUUUACGACAGAUAUACAAGCAGCAACUUCACUGUGUGGUGGUUGGAAGUGAAAAUGCCAAACGAUAUUUUGAAGCAGUUCAAGGAUCUAAAGAGCAUCAAGGAGAGCUUUUUGGGAUCCAUAACCUCUUCAAAUUUAGGUCCCAAGGGUCUUGUCUUACGAAGGACAUCCUGGAGAGAGAAGGCCAAGUAGAAGCAGGGAUCAUGACAGCCACAACAUGGUUGAAAGAGGGACCUCCAGCACACAAACUGGAAAUGCCUAGACAGCCUGACUGUCAGGAAUGCAGAGGUACAGAACAAGCUGCAGAGCCACUGGCAAAGGAAGCAUGUGAUCUCUGCAGUGACUUCAGUGAUGAAGAGCCAGUGGGAGCCACAGGAAUAAAGACUGCCAAAAACAAAGCACCCGAUUCAAGUAAAGCUUCCAGCUCUCCAGGACAGCUUACCUUACUCCAGUGUGGUUUCUCGAAAUUGCUUGAAACAAAAUGUAAAGCAGUUGAGGAUAGUGAUGGAAAUACUGCCUCUGAUGAUGAAAGUUCUGAUGAGCAGCCCACAUGCCUUUCAACAGAAGCCAAAGAUGCUGGUUGUGAGAAAAAUCAGGACUCUCUUGGUACUUCAAAACAUCAGAAAUUAGAUAACAUCCUAAAUCCAAAAGAAAAGCAUAUUUUUUAUAAAAGUGAGAAGAUUUUAGAACAGAAUAUUUCUUCCAAGUCUGACGAGAAAAAAAUUAAAAAUACAGAUAAACAUUGCAUUUUACAGAAUGUCACAGAAUCAGAAGAUAGUGAUGUCAUCUGUCCUACACAAUACACAACUGAGAGAUUCCCCGACAAUAGUAUAAGGUUUAAGCCACCCUUGGAAGGAUCUGAGGAUUCUGAAACAGAACACACUGUAAAAACAAGAAAUAAUGAUAAUAGUCGAAACACUGAUGACAAAAGAAAUGGAAUAAUUUCAAAAAAGUUAAGUCCUGAGAACACAACCCUGAAAUCUAUUUUGAAAAGAAAAGGCACCAGUGAUAUCAGUGAUGAAUCUGAUGACAUUGAAAUUUCUUCCAAGUCAAGAGUAAGAAAGAGAGCUAGUUCAUUGAGGUUUAAGAGAAUAAAAGAAACCAAAAAAGAACUUCACAAUUCUCCCAAAACAAUGAACAAAACAAACCAAGUGUAUGCAGCAAAUGAGGAUCAUAACUCUCAGUUUAUUGAUGAUUAUUCAUCCUCAGAUGAGAGUUUAUCCGUCAGCCACUUCAGUUUCUCUAAACAGAGCCACAGACCAAGAACUAUAAGAGACAGAACUAGUUUUUCUUCAAAAUUGCCUAGCCAUAAUAAGAAAAAUAGCACUUUUAUUCCAAGAAAACCAAUGAAAUGUUCAAAUGAGAAAGUUGUUAAUCAAGAGCAGUCGUAUGAAUCAAUGGAUAAAUUUUUAGAUGGCGUUCAGGAAGUGGCUUAUAUUCACUCAAACCAGAAUGUAAUUGGAUCGAGCAAAGCUGAAAAUCACAUGAGCCGAUGGGCAGCACAUGACGUAUUUGAGUUGAAGCAGUUUUCUCAGCUGCCUGCUAACAUAGCUGUUUGCAGUUCUAAGAAGUUUGGAAGAAGUUGAUUCCAGCCCUCAUGGAUGACUUUGAGAGAUUCAAGACUUUAGUGGGGGAACUAACUGUAGAUGUGGUGGAAGCAGCAAGAGAACUAGAAUUAGAAAUGGAGCCUGAAGAUGGGACUGAACUGCUGCAAUCUCAUGAUAAAACUUUAACAGACAUAUAAAGAAAAAGUGGAUGCAGAUACAUUGCCACACACAAAGAAAGGCCAGCAACCGAGUGAAGGCAGCAUUUCACUUCCUCUUUACAUUUCAAAUCCUGUAAACCAGAAGAAGAAAAAAGUCUACCAUACAAACCAGACCACCUUCAUAAUUGGAGAAACACCAAAAGGAAUCCGCAGAAAACAAUUUGAAGAAAUGGCCUCUUAUUUUAACUCGUCUUCUGUAAACGAAUUUGCUAAACAUAUAACCAAUGCCACAUCAGAAGAACGACAGAAAAUGCUAAGAGACUUUUAUGCUUCUCAAUAUCCAGAGGUAAAAGAAUUUUUUGUGGAUUCUGUGUCACAAUUCAACAAUUCUUCCUUUGAGAAAGGAGAGCAGCGCACCCGGAAGAAAUCUGAUAAAAGAGAAUCUCUUAUAAAACCAAGGCUGUCAGAUUCUGAAACCUUGUCAUUUAAAGAUUCUACCAACAAAAUUUCUCAAGUUUGCAGCCUAAAAACAUAUAAAAGAAAAUCAGUUAAGUUUCAGAAUCAUAUUUCCUAUAGAGAAGAGGUGUUUUUUAAUGAUGCAGAAACUAAGAAAUCACCUGUUAGUUCUACUCAAGAGAUUGACAGUGGGAAAAACAGCCAGGCAUCCGAAGAUACUGUGACAUCCCGUUCUCUGAACAGUGAGUCUGAAACACGUGAGAGAAGGUUAGAAAAUACCAUGAAAGACCAACAGGACCUCACAAGAACGGGCAUUUCAAGAAAAGAACCCCUUCUCAAAUUGGAAAACAAAAAGAUAGAAAAUCCAGUGCUGGAAAAUACUUCUGUGAUAAGCUUACUUGGUGAUACCUCUAUUCUUGAUGACCUUUUUAAAAGUCAUGGGAACAGUCCCACACAACUGCCAAAGAAAGUUCUUUCAGGGCCCAUGGAAAAAGCAAAACAGAGACCAAAAGAUUUCUGGGACAUCUUGAAUGAGCAGAAUGAUGAGAGUCUUAGUAAACUCACAGACUUGGCAGUAAUAGAGACUCUGUGUGAAAAAGCACCUCUAGCAGCACCCUUUAAAAGGAGAGAAGAGCCAGCAACUUCUCUUUGGAAAUCAAAUGAGAAAUUUUUAUGGAAGAAAUUUAGCCCAAGUGAUACAGAUGAAAACGCAACCAAUACACAGAGUACCACAUAAGCAUAUAAAUGAAUUACUGCACCAGUAAACUGCUGCCAUCACUGUUUACGGCACUGGAUUCCACACUGAUUCUAUUAUCUUGAACACAGUUGUUGACAUAUAUUUUUAUUAAAUUAUUGCUUUAGGAUUUUUUGAAGUCUAAAGUAUUGUCAUGGAUCUGUUUUUCUUGAUAUUUGAUUUGAUCUUUCAAGAAUAUGAUUGUAUUUAUAGUAUAAACCUCUGUUAUGAAUUAGAAAAGAUUCUAGGUUUGUUAAUAGGAGACCUGGGACAUCUUUCUUACUAUAUUACAUAAUGAUGUGACACUUGCCCCGGUGAGCAUUGUUUCCCAGUAUGAAAGAUGAAGAGUCUGUACCGAAUCAGCAUGAGUGUCCUUCCAGUUUAAAAAAGCUUUGCUUCGCUCUCCUAAUGGCUCAUAGGCUGAAUCAUGUCUGCCCCUCAAAUCAGGUGUAUACCAAUGUGUUUUUUACUAGCACUUGGGAAAGUUAUUAAGUAUUUUCUUUUUCCCUGGGCAUCAUGUUCUAUUAUUAUUUUAGAAAAAAGUCAUAAUUGGUACUGAAUAUAUGGUAUAUAUAAUAUUAAAAUGGUAAUUUUGCAACAGCUCAAAAUUAAAAGGUUAAUGUUAUACACUUUACUAUAUGAGCUGUGAUUACUACCAUUAGCCACAGAUACCAGUGCCUCAACUUUUUAUGUACCUAUUGUGAUUUAAUGUAAAUAAAGGUUUGUAUAGUACUUUUGUAGUUCUUAAGUAUGAAGAAAUGGGUAAACUUUUUAUUUUGUUAGAAACUGUUAUAUUUUGAGUGUAAUAUUUAUGGUUUAUAGCAAAAUGAAUGUGCUUAUUGUUGAAUGCAUGUAUUUAGAAGCCUUUACUCAGCCCCUGUGUUCUGUGCUAGGAGCUUGAGCUCUACAGGUAAGGCAGAGCUACCGGUGAAUGAAAGGAAAUCAUGUCAGUGAAAAAUCAUGGUGGAAAGCCCCUGGCAUCACAUGUGCAUGCUGUAGGCAGGACCUGAGCUGCCUCCGCUGCAGGUUCAGAUGCACCGCUGCAGCUGUCCUUCAGUUAGUUCACAGGGCUGCAAGAGGAGGACACAUCCCUCCAGAAAACAGCCUGAGCCGGGAACUGGCUGUGCUAAAGAGCACUGCUAUCAAGUUGAGGAGAGAGGGCUUCCGUGUACUCAGGAUGUAGAGUCAUUGCUCAGAAGUGAACAAAAAAUCAAAAACAAAAGUCUUCUCAAGGGACUGAUCGGCCAAGUAUGCUUUUCUUUAGAGCAAUGUUUUGCCCUAGAGAAUUGUAAAAUUUAUGUCAUGACUCAGUACAUAUGUGUUCGUACAUAUAUGAUUGGAAUAAAAUGUUUAUGAAAUAUUUACUCAUAAGCCAUGUAACAUACUUUGACAUUUUUCUCUUCUAGGAUUGUGUUUGGUAGGGCAGUGGGUUUGUGUGUGUGUUAAUCCUCUCACAACCCACUGAAUUGAAUUUCAUGGCCCAUGGUUAAGAUCCACAGUGUGAAAACGCUGUUUUAAAUUAUAUGAGUUCGUCAUUUGUUUGCUCUGUGCAGCUGAGUUGUGUCCAGACUUACCAGAUGGUAUGUUUUGCCAUUGAGGGGCCUUCUACACAAUGAGUGCAUGAUAUGGUCCUUGAUAGACUUGACUUGUAGAUGUUUUCAGCCUACAAUGUGAUCAGCUAUCUGAGGAACUCCAGUAAGUAGAUACCACUUCAUUUCAGUUUAUAUACAAGACAAUGUAGUUCAAACAUUUUAAUACCUUGUAAAUUAUGAUAUUCAUAUAAAUAUUAGCUCUAUAGUCUUCAUAUAUGUACAGUUUUUUUUUUUUUUUUUUUUUUUUUGAGAUUGAGUCUCACUCUGUCACCCAGGCUGGAGUACAGUGGCAUGAUCUUGGCUCACUGCAACCUCCACCUCCCUCCCAAACAACUCUUAUGCCUCAGCCUCCUGAGUAGCUAGGAUUACAGGUGUGUACCACCACACUCAGCUAAACAUUUUUUUUUUUUUUUGAGACGGAGUCUCACUCUGUCGCCAGGCUGGAGUGCAGUGGCUCGAUCUUGGCUCACUGCAGCCUCCGCCCCCCGAGUCAAGCAAUUCUCCUGCCUCAGCCUCCCGAGUAGCUGGGACUACAGGUGCGUGCCACCACGCCCAGCUAAUUUUUUUGUGUUUUUAGUAGGGAUGGGGUUUCACCAUGUUGGCCAGGCUGGUCUCAAUCUCCUGGCUGCAAGCGAUCCACCUGCCUUGUCCUCCCAAAGUGCUGGGAUUACAGGUGUGAGCCACCAUGCCCAGCCAAUAAAUGCUAUUAAAGAAACUUUUAGGCCGGGCACAGUGGCUCACGCCUGUAAUCCCAGCACUUUGGGAGGCCGAGGCAGGCGGAUCACAAGGUCAUGAGAUCGAGACUAUCCUGGCUAACGCGGUGAAACCCCGUCUCUACUAAAAAAAAAAAAAAUACAAAAAUUAGCCAGGCGUGGUGGUGGGCGCCUGUAGUCCCAGCUACUCGGGAGGCUGAGGCAGGAGAAUGGCGUGAACCUGGGAGGCAGAGCUUGCAGUGAGCCAGGAUUGUGCCCCUGCACCCCAGCCUGGGUGACAGAGCAAGACUCCAUCUCAAAAAAGGAAACUUUUAUCAAUAGUAGUCAAAAUGGGAGCAAAAAUGCAGAACUGGAGUUUAAAAAUUAGUUUCCAACAGUUGUCAGUGAAAUAUUUAUCACUAUUAUGUAGGAAAGUGUGUCAGGUGGAAUGCAGAGUCCAGUAUGAAAAGGAGCCUGUUUCAGAACGGAAACUGUCAGGUGGAGUGGACUCCCUGCAAUGGAGUGAUGGAAAGAUUUGGUACAACCAUUGAUGACCUGAGAACAGACACUAGGAAGGUUUGACAAGAUCCUUCCUACCCCCACUCCACUGGUGAUGUGUCACCAAGUUCUGCUAACUAAAUGGGUGGCCUCAAGCAAAUCCCUUACCUCCUUUUAGCCUUAGUUUCCCCUUUAAAUUGGUGAUGGAUUAGAUCAGUGGUGGUCAGCCAUUUUCUUAAAGCAACUGAACUGUAUCUUAAUCAGAAACUUAACUAGUAAAACAAUUAAAAUGCAAGUCUGUUGCUUCAAGCAACACCACUGUGGCUCCAUGGAGCACUAAUUUGAAAACCACAGAGAUGAGAUCAUUUCUAAGAAAACCUUUCAACUUUGUUUCCAUGAUGCUACUUGCCACAAUCUUUUUUACUUAAGCAAUGAUACCGUUUCUGGCUGAACACUCACCACACAGCUAUUAAUAUUGGAAACUGAGGCAAGAUACCAAGAGAUUUUUGCACUUGAAUUCCUCAGGGUUCUCUUACAGCCCUGAAAACACCUCUUCAAGGAAAUAAAUAACAUCUGCAAAUGGUGCAGCUGCCCCUAAGUAUUCAAGGCAAAGAAGCCUUAGUUUGCAGAGAUGAUGAUAAACUUUUCAUCCUUCCACAGAAAAUGAGAAAGCCACAGGAAAUACACGGUUAUUUUCUAAUUAAAGUUCAAUGUGUACGCUUUUAAAUUCUGAAGUUAUCCUUCUUUUAUGAUAUCAAAAUAGCCCUCUUUUUUGAAAUGAUGGUAGAUCAUACCUUUUGGUCUUUUUCAUUGUCCUUACAUAAAAGUUGGUAAUCAUAUGUCAGUCCCAGAAGUUUUAUUUGACACUUACUGGUCUAUAAAAUCCAAAGGAAUGGGGAUCACUGCCUGCCUUAAAGGUUUUUUUGUGUGUUUGUUUGUUUGUUUGUUUGCAUGUGAAGGAUUUUUAUGUCACAAAUCCAGCUAACAGUGGAUCUAGGAUCUAGGCCUCACCGAGGAUGUCACUGAACCUGUCAGCCCCAAUGACAGGCACACACCUUCAAAGAGCAAGAGUGCCCAUCACUUUCUAGGCUCCUUGCCUGCUGCUCAUUCCAUCAUCACGGAUACAGACUUGUUUCUGGUUUCAUCUUCCACCAGAGAUUGCAAAGCAUCCUCUGCCCAGUGCUUCUAGGAGGCCUUACUGGGAUGGUUCAUAAGCCACUUUCCUCUUGGUGACAGCCCCUGUACACUGUGGCAUGUACGGCUGGCUCCACUUGGUAUUUGUUGCAGGAGGGAAGAACAUCUCACUUUUGCUUGGCUAAAGGGCCACCCCAGGAGAGCUAUUUUGCCUCAGGGUCUUGCAGGGUUUCUCUAGGAAAACAGUGCAUCUGAUAGUUACUCUCUGCCCCUAGGAGGAAAGACAGAUUCGCCCUUCCUUCCCAAGUCCCAGGCUGUGUGGUUCCCAGCCCCAAGGGUAGCAAGUCAGAACCUCCGGAGAGGCUUUUAAGCAUGCACAUGUCCAGGGUCCUCAUCAAGAGACUGAAUCAGGGGGUCUAGGGCUCAGCACAGGCACCCUUUUUGUUUUUGCAGUUUCACAGGAAUUCUGAUGUGCCAGUGAUUGUCAGGUUUGUCCCUGGGCAGGACCCACCUGCCUGACCUUCUGUCCCCCUGGGACACAGUAUUUCCAGAGAGGUGCUUCAGUUGCCCCACCACGACUUCCAGCGCCCCCCAUCUCUGUAUGCAGCUGAGCUCAUGAUGGAGCCCACUGUGUGCUUUUUGUUGUUGUUACAUUCCUAUAAAAAUGUCCACGCAUAUUUGAACAUCUGUGUUCAUAGUGGCAUUAUUCACAAUGGCUACAACACGAAGAAAGCAUUCCAAGUACCUAUCGAUGAAUAAGCAAAAUAUUACACACACAGGAAUAUUAUUCAGCCUUGAAAGGAAAUUCGGACACGUGCUACAACAUAGAUGAAUCUUGAGGACGGUAUGCAAAGUGAAAUAAAUCAGACACAGAAGGACAAAUACUGUAUGAUUCCACUUAUAUAAAGUACCUAGAUUAGUCAGAUUCAUAGAGACAAAGUAGAAUGGUGGUUGCUAGACGCUGGAGGGAGGGGAGAAAGGGGAGUUAUUAAUGGGUGUAGAGUUUCUGUUACACAGGAUGCAAAGUGGCCUGAAGAUGGAUGGUCGUGAUGGUUGCACAGCAAUGUGAAUUUAAUGACACUGAAGUGUACACUUAAAAGUCAUUAAAAUGCUAAAUUUUGUAUGUGUUUUACAAUUUUAAAAAUGGAAAAAAAGUAAGACCAAAAGCAACACCUCUCCAGAAUGUGUGUUAUAUACCAAAUUUUGAUGUAUGUGAGAUUGCUGACUAUAUUUUACUUAUCAAUUUGAAAUUAUAUUGUUUUUAUGUUGACACUCCAUAUAAGCCAUUAUUUUGAAAAAAACAUUUUCCUUAUUAAAAGAUUGGAAAAAAA
RNA transcript from Homo sapiens (human), 10413 nucleotides. It is a transcript of the gene named ERCC excision repair 6 like 2, with no coding region annotated. NCBI's taxonomy places the organism in Eukaryota, Metazoa, Chordata, Mammalia, Primates, Hominidae. The record is from RefSeq and is marked reviewed. The transcript has 20 exons.